GGGCUUGUGGCUCAGUGGGAGAGCCCUCACCUAGUAUGUGUGAAGCCCUGGGUUCAAUUCCCAGCACCACCA
This 72-nucleotide transfer RNA is filed under the name Neotoma lepida (desert woodrat). It matches the Rfam family "tRNA". From Rfam's summary of the family: Transfer RNA (tRNA) molecules are approximately 80 nucleotides in length. The record is from Rfam by way of RNAcentral. Lineage: Eukaryota; Metazoa; Chordata; Mammalia; Rodentia; Cricetidae.